UACGGAAGGCAGCAGUGGGGAAUAUUGCACAAUGGGCGCAAGCCUGAUGCAGCCGUGCCGCGUGUAUGAAGAAGGCCUUCGGGUUGUAAAGUACUUUCAGUCGUGAGGAAGGUGUUAAGGUUAAUAACCUUAGCAAUUGACGUUAGCGACAGAAGAAGCACCGGCUAACUCCGUGCCAGCAGCCGCGGUAAUACGGAGGGUGCGAGCGUUAAUCGGAAUUACUGGGCGUAAAGGGCACGCAGGCGGUUAAUUAAGUUGGAUGUGAAAUCCCCGGGCUUAACCUGGGAAUGGCAUUCAAGACUGGUUAGCUAGAGUCUUGUAGAGGGGGUAGAAUUCCAUGUGUAGCGGUGAAAUGCGUAGAGAUGUGGAGGAAUACCGGUGGCGAAGGCGGCCCCCUGGACAAAGACUGACGCUCAUGUGCGAAAGCGUGGGGAGCAAACAGGGAUUAGAUACC
RNAcentral lists this ribosomal RNA (454 nucleotides) under uncultured bacterium. RNAcentral's name for it is "bacterial SSU rRNA". It matches the Rfam family "Bacterial small subunit ribosomal RNA", at positions 340 to 786 of the family's 1533-position model. The record is from RNAcentral.